Molecule: long non-coding RNA, 686 nt
Organism: Trifolium pratense (red clover)
Lineage: Eukaryota; Viridiplantae; Streptophyta; Magnoliopsida; Fabales; Fabaceae
Exons: 4
Source: RefSeq, a predicted model, not a curated record
UUCAAAUCCAAUCAAACCCUAAAACCCCAUUUCGUGAAACCCAAAAUCCAAUCUUGAAAACAUUCCCCCAAUACAUUCAAUCAUACCCAUCACCGAUCAUCAAAUCCAAUCAAACCCUAAAACCCCAUUAAUCACUACAAUUUUGUACUUUGCGACACUAGACCUGUGACGGUUCGCUCAAAACUACCCUUGUUCUUUGUUUGCGACGUUUUAGUCAUCUCCAUCAUCAAUAACUCAAGUUGUGAAGGGUCAUUCAAGGUUUGUACGACCUGGAGAUCUUGAGGAAGCCAACAAGCAACGCUUACGCUCACUAGGUUUACCGCAAGCACCUUCACCACCUACAACAGUCCAAAAGACAGCUCCGCUAAUUCACUACCCAGUUCAGAAUAUUCAAAAGAGCAUGAAGGUGACAUUAAUGAUAUGCUGCAAAAGAUAUAUUUCAAAACAAUAGUCACCAUAUUGAUGGAAAGUAUUAAACCACAAGGCAUAACAAAAACAAUAAGAGGAAUCACGAGACCUCAAAAUACUUGUUGAGGUAACUACAUAAUGAUGUAAGAUUGUUAGGCUACGGAAGCGCAACUGUGAAACUUUGGGGCUACUUAAGUGCAGCUGCACAUUCAUGCCUCUUUUGACAUUAACACAAGAUACAAAGUACGCAAACUAGUUGUCUCACCGAUGACACUAGA